UGACAACACUCAAUAACAAGCCCUUACUUAUUUGGAAAGCCUCCCUUGCAAGAAGAGGAACAGAAAAGGUUCCACUUAACUGUUAGUAGUGGAGAUGGUGAUGGUAUCCAUGACCAUAAUAAUUGGCUUGUUACAAGAAAAUUCACUCAAUAUGAAACAAAGGAAGGCCAUUGAACUCUCCCCAUAAUGUUACAUAAAUUACAUUCUUCAAUUUCUCACAGGUAGACUAAUCCAAAUUGAUGGGCAAAACAAUCCAUCUUCUGGGAUCCAAUCCUAUCUAAAAAUCUUUUGAACAUGCAAAUAUGAAGCAAAGAUGAAUCUGGGAGCAAGCCUAGCACACAGUUUGAGAAUAAUAACUCUUCUCUGUACAAGCCAUCCACCCCAUCAAAAACUAAUGCUAUAUGUACGAGACAUUCUCUAUUGUAAGAAGUAAAA
Molecule: unclassified non-coding RNA, 435 nt
Filed under: Hevea brasiliensis (rubber tree)
Lineage: Eukaryota; Viridiplantae; Streptophyta; Magnoliopsida; Malpighiales; Euphorbiaceae
Source: RNAcentral